AGAGUUUGAUCCUGGCUCAGAUUGAACGCUGGCGGCAUGCUUUACACAUGCAAGUCGGACGGCAGCACAGGGAAGCUUGCUUCUCGGGUGGCGAGUGGCGAACGGGUGAGUAACAUAUCGGAACGUACCGGGUAGCGGGGGAUAACUGAUCGAAAGAUCAGCUAAUACCGCAUACGUCUUGAGAGGGAAAGCAGGGGACCUUCGGGCCUUGCGCUAUCCGAGCGGCCGAUAUCUGAUUAGCUGGUUGGCGGGGUAAAGGCCCACCAAGGCGACGAUCAGUAGCGGGUCUGAGAGGAUGAUCCGCCACACUGGGACUGAGACACGGCCCAGACUCCUACGGGAGGCAGCAGUGGGGAAUUUUGGACAAUGGGCGCAAGCCUGAUCCAGCCAUGCCGCGUGUCUGAAGAAGGCCUUCGGGUUGUAAAGGACUUUUGUCAGGGAAGAAAAGGCCGUUGCCAAUAUCGGCGGCCGAUGACGGUACCUGAAGAAUAAGCACCGGCUAACUACGUGCCAGCAGCCGCGGUAAUACGUAGGGUGCGAGCGUUAAUCGGAAUUACUGGGCGUAAAGCGGGCGCAGACGGUUACUUAAGCAGGAUGUGAAAUCCCCGGGCUCAACCCGGGAACUGCGUUCUGAACUGGGUGGCUCGAGUGUGUCAGAGGGAGGUGGAAUUCCACGUGUAGCAGUGAAAUGCGUAGAGAUGUGGAGGAAUACCGAUGGCGAAGGCAGCCUCCUGGGAUAACACUGACGUUCAUGUCCGAAAGCGUGGGUAGCAAACAGGAUUAGAUACCCUGGUAGUCCACGCCCUAAACGAUGUCAAUUAGCUGUUGGGCAACUUGAUUGCUUGGUAGCGUAGCUAACGCGUGAAAUUGACCGCCUGGGGAGUACGGUCGCAAGAUUAAAACUCAAAGGAAUUGACGGGGACCCGCACAAGCGGUGGAUGAUGUGGAUUAAUUCGAUGCAACGCGAAGAACCUUACCUGGUUUUGACAUGUGCGGAAUCCUCCGGAGACGGAGGAGUGCCUUCGGGAGCCGUAACACAGGUGCUGCAUGGCUGUCGUCAGCUCGUGUCGUGAGAUGUUGGGUUAAGUCCCGCAACGAGCGCAACCCUUGUCAUUAGUUGCCAUCAUUCGGUUGGGCACUCUAAUGAGACUGCCGGUGACAAGCCGGAGGAAGGUGGGGAUGACGUCAAGUCCUCAUGGCCCUUAUGACCAGGGCUUCACACGUCAUACAAUGGUCGGUACAGAGGGUAGCCAAGCCGCGAGGCGGAGCCAAUCUCACAAAACCGAUCGUAGUCCGGAUUGCACUCUGCAACUCGAGUGCAUGAAGUCGGAAUCGCUAGUAAUCGCAGGUCAGCAUACUGCGGUGAAUACGUUCCCGGGUCUUGUACACACCGCCCGUCACACCAUGGGAGUGGGGGAUACCAGAAGUAGGUAGGGUAACCGCAAGGAGCCCGCUUACCACGGUAUGCUUCAUGACUGGGGUGAAGUCGUAACAAGGUAGCCGUAGGGGAACCUGCGGCUGGAUCACCU
RNAcentral lists this ribosomal RNA (1529 nucleotides) under Neisseria gonorrhoeae. RNAcentral describes it as "bacterial SSU rRNA". It matches the Rfam family "Bacterial small subunit ribosomal RNA". The record is from RNAcentral. Lineage: Bacteria; Pseudomonadati; Pseudomonadota; Betaproteobacteria; Neisseriales; Neisseriaceae.